AGUGAACGCUGGCGGUAGGCCUAACACAUGCAAGUCGAACGGCAGCACAGUAAGAUCUUGCUCUUACGGGUGGCGAGUGGCGGACGGGUGAGGAAUACAUCGGAAUCUACUUUUUCGUGGGGGAUAACGUAGGGAAACUUACGCUAAUACCGCAUACGACCUACGGGUGAAAGCAGGGGAUCUUCGGACCUUGCGCGAUUGAAUGAGCCGAUGUCGGAUUAGCUAGUUGGCGGGGUAAAGGCCCACCAAGGCGACGAUCCGUAGCUGGUCUGAGAGGAUGAUCAGCCACACUGGAACUGAGACACGGUCCAGACUCCUACGGGAGGCAGCAGUGGGGAAUAUUGGACAAUGGGCGCAAGCCUGAUCCAGCCAUACCGCGUGGGUGAAGAAGGCCUUCGGGUUGUAAAGCACUUUUGUUGGGAAAGAAAAGCAGCAGGUUAAUACCGCGCUGUUCUGACGGUACCCAAAGAAUAAGCACCGGCUAACUUCGUG
RNAcentral lists this ribosomal RNA (492 nucleotides) under uncultured bacterium. RNAcentral describes it as "partial 16S ribosomal RNA". It matches the Rfam family "Bacterial small subunit ribosomal RNA", at positions 29 to 507 of the family's 1533-position model. The record is from RNAcentral.